RNAcentral lists this non-coding RNA (178 nucleotides) under Eubacterium sp. RNAcentral describes it as "6S RNA". It matches the Rfam family "6S / SsrS RNA". From Rfam's summary of the family: E. coli 6S RNA was the first non coding RNA to be sequenced, but its function was unknown until recently. It consists of 184 nucleotides that fold into an extended hairpin structure with a large single-stranded internal bulge. The 6S RNA specifically associates with RNA polymerase holoenzyme containing the sigma70 specificity factor. Lineage: Bacteria; Bacillati; Bacillota; Clostridia; Eubacteriales; Eubacteriaceae. The record is from RNAcentral.
AAAUAUCUGGGAUGUCCGACAACUCCUACAUAUUUUGAACCUACAUCUUAUUAUAGGGAACUUAAUAUCUUGAGAUAGAUGACAUGCCUCUUCGUGAGGACUUCAGAAGUCUCAUUGCAAGUACCCACCUAGCUUUAGCUAGGAGUCAAAAAGUAGGAGCCGGCAUCUUGGAUGUUUU